This 504-nucleotide ribosomal RNA is filed under the name uncultured bacterium. RNAcentral describes it as "partial 16S ribosomal RNA". It matches the Rfam family "Bacterial small subunit ribosomal RNA", at positions 355 to 874 of the family's 1533-position model. The record is from RNAcentral.
UGGGGAAUAUUGCACAAUGGGCGAAAGCCUGAUGCAGCAACGCCGCGUGAGUGAUGAAGGUCUUCGGAUUGUAAAGCUCUGUCUUUUGGGACGAUAAUGACGGUACCAAAGGAGGAAGCCACGGCUAACUACGUGCCAGCAGCCGCGGUAAUACGUAGGUGGCGAGCGUUGUCCGGAUUUACUGGGCGUAAAGGGUGCAUAGGCGGAUGUUUAAGUGAGAUGUGAAAUACCCGGGCUUAACUUGGGUGCUGCAUUUCAAACUGGAUAUCUAGAGUGCAGGAGAGGAGAAUGGAAUUCCUAGUGUAGCGGUGAAAUGCAUAGAGAUUAGGAAGAACACCAGUGGCGAAGGCGAUUCUCUGGACUGUAACUGACGCUGAGGCACGAAAGCGUGGGUAGCAAACAGGAUUAGAUACCCUGGUAGUCCACGCCGUAAAACGAUGAGUACUAGGUGUAGGAGGUAUCGACCCCUUCUGUGCCGCAGUAAACACAUUAAGUACUCCGCCU